This 2549-nucleotide ribosomal RNA is filed under the name Escherichia coli UMEA 3671-1. RNAcentral describes it as "bacterial LSU rRNA". It matches the Rfam family "Bacterial large subunit ribosomal RNA", at positions 398 to 2925 of the family's 2925-position model. Lineage: Bacteria; Pseudomonadati; Pseudomonadota; Gammaproteobacteria; Enterobacterales; Enterobacteriaceae. The record is from RNAcentral.
UGUGAGCUCGAUGAGUAGGGCGGGACACGUGGUAUCCUGUCUGAAUAUGGGGGGACCAUCCUCCAAGGCUAAAUACUCCUGACUGACCGAUAGUGAACCAGUACCGUGAGGGAAAGGCGAAAAGAACCCCGGCGAGGGGAGUGAAAAAGAACCUGAAACCGUGUACGUACAAGCAGUGGGAGCACAGAGCAAUCUGUGUGACUGCGUACCUUUUGUAUAAUGGGUCAGCGACUUAUAUUCUGUAGCAAGGUUAACCGAAUAGGGGAGCCGAAGGGAAACCGAGUCUUAACUGGGCGUUAAGUUGCAGGGUAUAGACCCGAAACCCGGUGAUCUAGCCAUGGGCAGGUUGAAGGUUGGGUAACACUAACUGGAGGACCGAACCGACUAAUGUUGAAAAAUUAGCGGAUGACUUGUGGCUGGGGGUGAAAGGCCAAUCAAACCGGGAGAUAGCUGGUUCUCCCCGAAAGCUAUUUAGGUAGCGCCUCGUGAAUUCAUCUCCGGGGGUAGAGCACUGUUUCGGCAAGGGGGUCAUCCCGACUUACCAACCCGAUGCAAACUGCGAAUACCGGAGAAUGUUAUCACGGGAGACACACGGCGGGUGCUAACGUCCGUCGUGAAGAGGGAAACAACCCAGACCGCCAGCUAAGGUCCCAAAGUCAUGGUUAAGUGGGAAACGAUGUGGGAAGGCCCAGACAGCCAGGAUGUUGGCUUAGAAGCAGCCAUCAUUUAAAGAAAGCGUAAUAGCUCACUGGUCGAGUCGGCCUGCGCGGAAGAUGUAACGGGGCUAAACCAUGCACCGAAGCUGCGGCAGCGACGCUUAUGCGUUGUUGGGUAGGGGAGCGUUCUGUAAGCCUGUGAAGGUGUACUGUGAGGUAUGCUGGAGGUAUCAGAAGUGCGAAUGCUGACAUAAGUAACGAUAAAGCGGGUGAAAAGCCCGCUCGCCGGAAGACCAAGGGUUCCUGUCCAACGUUAAUCGGGGCAGGGUGAGUCGACCCCUAAGGCGAGGCCGAAAGGCGUAGUCGAUGGGAAACAGGUUAAUAUUCCUGUACUUGGUGUUACUGCGAAGGGGGGACGGAGAAGGCUAUGUUGGCCGGGCGACGGUUGUCCCGGUUUAAGCGUGUAGGCUGGUUUUCCAGGCAAAUCCGGAAAAUCAAGGCUGAGGCGUGAUGACGAGGCACUACGGUGCUGAAGCAACAAAUGCCCUGCUUCCAGGAAAAGCCUCUAAGCAUCAGGUAACAUCAAAUCGUACCCCAAACCGACACAGGUGGUCAGGUAGAGAAUACCAAGGCGCUUGAGAGAACUCGGGUGAAGGAACUAGGCAAAAUGGUGCCGUAACUUCGGGAGAAGGCACGCUGAUAUGUAGGUGAAGUCCCUCGCGGAUGGAGCUGAAAUCAGUCGAAGAUACCAGCUGGCUGCAACUGUUUAUUAAAAACACAGCACUGUGCAAACACGAAAGUGGACGUAUACGGUGUGACGCCUGCCCGGUGCCGGAAGGUUAAUUGAUGGGGUCAGCGCAAGCGAAGCUCUUGAUCGAAGCCCCGGUAAACGGCGGCCGUAACUAUAACGGUCCUAAGGUAGCGAAAUUCCUUGUCGGGUAAGUUCCGACCUGCACGAAUGGCGUAAUGAUGGCCAGGCUGUCUCCACCCGAGACUCAGUGAAAUUGAACUCGCUGUGAAGAUGCAGUGUACCCGCGGCAAGACGGAAAGACCCCGUGAACCUUUACUAUAGCUUGACACUGAACAUUGAGCCUUGAUGUGUAGGAUAGGUGGGAGGCUUUGAAGUGUGGACGCCAGUCUGCAUGGAGCCGACCUUGAAAUACCACCCUUUAAUGUUUGAUGUUCUAACGUGGACCCGUGAUCCGGGUUGCGGACAGUGUCUGGUGGGUAGUUUGACUGGGGCGGUCUCCUCCUAAAGAGUAACGGAGGAGCACGAAGGUUGGCUAAUCCUGGUCGGACAUCAGGAGGUUAGUGCAAUGGCAUAAGCCAGCUUGACUGCGAGCGUGACGGCGCGAGCAGGUGCGAAAGCAGGUCAUAGUGAUCCGGUGGUUCUGAAUGGAAGGGCCAUCGCUCAACGGAUAAAAGGUACUCCGGGGAUAACAGGCUGAUACCGCCCAAGAGUUCAUAUCGACGGCGGUGUUUGGCACCUCGAUGUCGGCUCAUCACAUCCUGGGGCUGAAGUAGGUCCCAAGGGUAUGGCUGUUCGCCAUUUAAAGUGGUACGCGAGCUGGGUUUAGAACGUCGUGAGACAGUUCGGUCCCUAUCUGCCGUGGGCGCUGGAGAACUGAGGGGGGCUGCUCCUAGUACGAGAGGACCGGAGUGGACGCAUCACUGGUGUUCGGGUUGUCAUGCCAAUGGCACUGCCCGGUAGCUAAAUGCGGAAGAGAUAAGUGCUGAAAGCAUCUAAGCACGAAACUUGCCCCGAGAUGAGUUCUCCCUGACUCCUUGAGAGUCCUGAAGGAACGUUGAAGACGACGACGUUGAUAGGCCGGGUGUGUAAGCGCAGCGAUGCGUUGAGCUAACCGGUACUAAUGAACCGUGAGGCUUAACCUU